UUACCGUUAAAUAAGAAAGAAAAUCCAUUAUAACCGAAAUAAAAUAAUGGCUCAUGAAUUAUUUAUUUACCUAUCACUUUUCUAAACUUCACCUACCAUUUUCCACUUGAUUAUUCAAACGAAAUCAAUUACAUUCUACACUCUCUGCUACUUUAGAAAGAAAGAACAAACACAUAACAAAACCGACACACACCGGUUAUGUAAAAAAGAAUCUCAUGCGAUUUUCAUGGCUAAUCCCUUUUCAUUCCUCCAUCUCACACAGAUCUCGUCCAACAAUGGCUAAUCCAGAAAAACGAAACAUGCAAGUAUAUACUAGUUCUAAAACAACAUCAGCCUCACCAGCUUGCCCAAAUGGAUUCGACAGAUCUAACAACUUAAAACAGUGCUUAGUUCAAAGAAUCAUCAUACAUCAACGAUGAAACAUUCGCAAAUAUCAUGUCAGACGUGUAAGAGGAACAUAAAAUCCAACCACAAUGGACUCAGAGACACAGAUCGGAAAGUAAACACCUCACCGGAGCCUUAAAACUCCGGCAAGAUUCUGGUGUUCGAAGUUACCUCGGUGGCUUUAGCUCAGUUUUCUCAAAGUCCUAAUGAUGAACCUUGAGUAAACUUGGGAGUAUUGAGCUUUGGUGAUGGGUGCGAGUGAGAUUUUAGCAGAGUAACGGUGCAAGGAUCAGGUCCCCUUUCCGAUGACUCUCACCAUCUAUUUAUAGAGCCUUCUCCUAGGAUCCUUAAAUCAUGAGCUGUCAAAUCUAUCCAAAAUCAUUCCGUUAGAGAGGAAUUUUUCGCUGGAUUUUGUGGGGACCAAAGUUUUGCUCCUUUUGGUACAGGGUGGUUAAUAGAACUUACGGACAACUCUGUCAUGAUUUCAAAAGAAGGCGAGAAAGUAGGCUGAGCCAACCUUAAAGCUUCCCUUUCAAACGUUACAGAUUGUUGGGACAUGGAUGAUGCUUGCGAGGUUAUGUAUUCCACAGAACUACAGGUCUCACGGCAUGGUAAAGGUGGCUUGUAGACUGACAACAUGGUAACUUGCAGUUAAUGCUAUUAGGAUCAUUGUCUUGACGCAGGGCACGUAACCUUCAUACCUGUUUUCAUCUUCAGACCAAUUCCUUUUGAAGGCACGAAAUGUUCUUUUUUUCAGUUUACCAAAACCUCAACAUCCGCCACAAUGAUCAAAACUUGGACACCAGGUUCUGUUUUAAGACCAUUCUUCUUAUCACAGUCGAUUUUGCUGAACUUUUAAAUUCUUUGUAACGUGACUGGGUUAUUUUCUGUUGUUUGGUAGGGGCCUUGGGUACAAGUCUUAUCAUCAUCCUUCAACCUGCGAGUUCUUAUCGUCUCCAGUUUUUUCGGCACCAAGUGAUUUUGAAGUGGAACAGAAAGCGUUGGAAAAUUUCCUAAAGACCAAAUCUUAACUGGGUCCGGCAAGCUUCUUCUCAACAGACCAAACCUCAGUGUUCCCUGGAAUGUCUUAAACCAAGAGAAAGCAUGGGACUCUUGUGAUUGAUCAACAGGUAUUACGGGAUGUACAUAUCCUGAUGCAAGUUCACGUUGUGGCAUGCAUAUGUUGGCUUCCCUGUUUUAAUACCAGGAGACCAAAAUCAGAGGAUUAACCGUGGAAAGAUCCAGUUCCAGUCUUGGCCAGAAAUGUAUCCUUUGGAGUUUCCAAAGAAUGAGUGUCCUGCUAGUUUACAUCAGCGGUUACCACCUGUUUCGACCUGUUGCAUAUCUUUCCCGCCAACGCUUCCAUUUGUCGGUCUUUCUUGAUGGAAUAAAAUAGAAAUUGUAUGAGGCUGCAGCUAGAUCCAUUGCUCAGGUUCUGCUUGAACAUUUAGCUUAUGUGUUGCCGGUCAAACGUUCGUGAUAUUGCGCAAAUGAGAAGAUGAUUACAAGGUGAUUCACACACUUGGGAAAUGGCUGGGCCGCAAGUUUGAUGUCAUUGGUAUCCAUUUUUGAAUUGGCGGUUUGGAUUACCAUGCUUUUGUAAUAUGGCAGCUGCUUCGUCAUAUUGUGAUUUCUGUCAUUUGUAGAAACUCAGCCUAGGCAUACUAGGCUAUGGUAAAUGGAUAAGUACCAUUUUGUCA
Lathyrus oleraceus (garden pea) is the source of this 2084-nucleotide long non-coding RNA. RefSeq lists it as uncharacterized. The transcript is spliced from 8 exons. The record is from RefSeq and is a predicted model, not a curated record. Lineage: Eukaryota; Viridiplantae; Streptophyta; Magnoliopsida; Fabales; Fabaceae.